GUCGAGCGAGAACCGUAGCAAUACGGGGACAGCGGCGAAAGGGACAGUAAUAUGUAGGUACCUACCUCCGGGUUCGGGAUAGCUGCGGGAAACUGCAGGUAAUACCGAAUAACGUCUCCGGACCAAAGGUGUGAUUCCACCUGGAGAGGGGCCUGCAUCCUAUUAGCUUGUUGGUGAGGUAACGGCUCACCAAGGCGACGAUGGGUAGCGGGUGUGAGAGCAUGACCCGCGUCAUUGGGACUGAGACACUGCCCAGACACCUACGGGUGGCUGCAGUCGAGAAUCUUCGGCAAUGGGGGAAACCCUGACCGAGCGACGCCGCGUGCGGGAUGAAGGCCCUCGGGUUGUAAACCGCUGUCGUAGAGGAGGAAGUGCAGGAGGGUUCUCCCUUCUGUUUGACCUAUUCUAGGAGGAAGUACGGGCUAAGUUCGUGCCAGCAGCCGCGGUAAGACGAACCGUACAAACGUUACUCGGAAUUACUGGGCUUAAAGGGUGCGUAGGCUGCGCGGAAAGUUAGGUGUGAAAGCCCUCGGCUCAACCGGGGAAUUGCAUCUAAAACUACCGUGCUCGAGGGAGAUAGAGGUGAGCGGAACUCAAGGUGGAGCGGUGAAAUGCGUUGAUAUCUUGAGGAACACCGGUGGCGAAAGCGGCUCACUGGAUCUCUUCUGACGCUGAGGCACGAAAGCCAAGGUAGCAAACGGGAUUAGAUACCCCGGUAGCCUUGGCUGUAAACGAUGAGCACUUGUUUGAAGGGUCCUCCAUAGCCUUUCAGACGUAGCGAAAGUGUUAAGUGCUCCGCCUGGGGAGUAUGGUCGCAAGGC
This 821-nucleotide ribosomal RNA is filed under the name uncultured Planctomycetota bacterium. RNAcentral describes it as "bacterial SSU rRNA". It matches the Rfam family "Bacterial small subunit ribosomal RNA", at positions 61 to 894 of the family's 1533-position model. Lineage: Bacteria; Pseudomonadati; Planctomycetota. The record is from RNAcentral.